RNAcentral lists this unclassified non-coding RNA (17 nucleotides) under Mus musculus (house mouse). RNAcentral's name for it is "oocyte_clustered_small_RNA11023". The record is from RNAcentral. Lineage: Eukaryota; Metazoa; Chordata; Mammalia; Rodentia; Muridae.
CUGCUUGCCCGGUGGCU